Molecule: ribosomal RNA, 253 nt
Filed under: uncultured bacterium
Lineage: Bacteria
Description: partial 16S ribosomal RNA
Rfam family: Bacterial small subunit ribosomal RNA
Source: RNAcentral
UACGUAGGAGGCGAGCGUUGUCCGGAUUUACUGGGCGUAAAGCGCGCGCAGGCGGCACGCUAAGUAUGGUGUGAAAUCUCCCUGCUCAACGGGGAGGGAGCAUUGUAAACUAGCGAGCUAGAGGACGGUAGAGGGGGGUAGAAUUGCUGGUGUAGCGGUGAAAUGCGUAGAUAUCAAGAGGAACACCAGUGGCGAAGGCGAGUCCCUGGACAAAUCCUGACACUGAGGCACGAAAGCUAGGGGAGCAAACAGG